CAAACAAUAAAAGAAAAAGCUAGUUCGAAUCGCCUCGAAACAGCAGUUUUAUGAAUAUAUAUCAAAUAAAACUAAAGAACAUUGCUGGAAAGUAAAUUGCAUUGAAUGAAAAUCAAUUACAAACUAAAUGGUUCACAAAACAUACAUCUUCUCUUCAAGAUUCAUUUCGUUCGAUCGCCGAGUACUUAGAAUUUUCAGAGAAAGUUUUGUAUAAAAUUUUGUGAC
Molecule: long non-coding RNA, 225 nt
Filed under: Trifolium pratense (red clover)
Lineage: Eukaryota; Viridiplantae; Streptophyta; Magnoliopsida; Fabales; Fabaceae
Description: long non-coding RNA (TPRA_LNC003416)
Source: RNAcentral